AGUAACGCGUAGGUAACCUGCCUGGUAGCGGGGGAUAACUAUUGGAAACGAUAGCUAAUACCGCAUAAGAGAGACUAACGCAUGUUAGUAAUUUAAAAGGGGCAAUUGCUCCACUAUGAGAUGGACCUGCGUUGUAUUAGCUAGUUGGUGAGGUAAAGGCUCACCAAGGCGACGAUACAUAGCCGACCUGAGAGGGUGAUCGGCCACACUGGGACUGAGACACGGCCCAG
Molecule: ribosomal RNA, 230 nt
Filed under: uncultured Streptococcaceae bacterium
Lineage: Bacteria; Bacillati; Bacillota; Bacilli; Lactobacillales; Streptococcaceae
Description: partial 16S ribosomal RNA
Rfam family: Bacterial small subunit ribosomal RNA
Source: RNAcentral